Mesoplodon densirostris (Blainville's beaked whale) is the source of this 1508-nucleotide long non-coding RNA. RefSeq lists it as uncharacterized. The record is from RefSeq and is a predicted model, not a curated record. NCBI's taxonomy places the organism in Eukaryota, Metazoa, Chordata, Mammalia, Artiodactyla, Ziphiidae. The transcript is spliced from 3 exons.
CAUGGCGACUGCCCAGGUCAGGAGAAGGUGACUGAUGCAGGACUGCAAGAGAAGAGAGAGACGGCGGGUUCAGCGAGCCGGACUUCGCCGCCGCGGCGCCCAGACAGCCCCCCGGGCGCCGCCGCAACCCGCCCUCUCCGCAGCUCCCGGGACAGCCCUCCGCCGAGCGUCCGCGCCACCCCGGCGCCCCCGCUGCCCUCGGCGGGCUAGGCGAGCGCUCACUCACCCAGACCCGAACCUCCGGGAGAGCGGCGGCGCAGAGAGCGGGAAGAGACGCGGGCGGAGAACGCUCCAGGCAGCUGCUUUCUGCGGGUUCCAGGCAACGGAAACGGCAUCGGCCCCGCCCCGCCCCCGCCGGCCCAUCCCUGCGCGCCUCCGACACGCCCCUGCCCGGGCUUCAGUGCGCCUGCGUGGAGCCCGGCCAGUCCGAGUCCUUGCAUCCUGGGUGGGGCGCUGCUCCCUGAGGGCCCCGGGGACAGCCUAGCCUUCGCGCAUUGGGAGGGCGUGGGGAGUUGUCCAGGACUCCGUGUUUGGGAUCGCUGGGGCCUCCCUCCCGUCCGUGGCCGCAGGAACGCGGGCCUCACCCGAUGCUCGGACUUAACGGUGCAGGGGCAUGAAGACCAGACAGUCUCUGCGGGCAAGGACAGUGCGUCUUUGACCACGGUUUAGAAUUCCCAAGUUUAUUUUUAAGUUUGUUUAAAAAAAAGAAGUGUCAAUCGUUGCUUCCUAGAUGGCCUUCUCUUAAAUGUAUAUAUAGAUCGUUGGUGACUUACUUGGGAAAUUUAAAAACCUCCACCUGGGGUCGGCUCCUAUUUUCAGAACCAGCCUAGAACUUUCAAACAACUUAAAUUUGAGCCAUUCCCUAUUAUUAGUUAAACGUAAAAUACAUGAGUAUGAGAGAGAGAAAGACAGACGGAGACACAGACACUACAGGAGAUUGUACUAGAUUGGUGCAGAGAACGCAAAGACAGAAAGACAGUGCCCUUCUCAGACUUACUAGCGUGGCGAGAGGGGAGGCACCGGGCGGGCGCCGGGAGGCAAGAGGACAGAAGCCGGCAACCCUAGACGCAGUAAGAUAUUCCAGGAUGAGAAGCGCAAAGUGCUGUGGAGAUUCAAGGUAAGAGGCUCCCACAGUCCCCAUCUGAUGUGGCCAAAGACUCCAGAAGCACCAUUUGGAAUUUAAUUCAAGCCGCCUACGUGGCCUCAUCUCAUCCAUCCCUGAACCUCCCAGGGUGAGAAGGAAAUAAAGCACCCACCCAGGUGGAGGAUGGAAUGAUGAUGUUGACAUUUUCUGACUUCAAUCAAGUAAAGCUUGGACUCCGUCAACCUUUGCCCCAAUUCUACACUGAAUUCUCCUCUGCUCAAGCCCCCUUCAUUAAUUUGCAUGUACCCUUAGCUUAAAACUUCCCCAAUUUUGCUAUCCUGGGAGAUAUCCCAGGAUCUUUGGGAAAGAUCCCCAGUGUUCUCCUUACUUGCUGCAAGUAAUAAUAAAUCUUUCUUUCUCCUGC